AUUGAACGCUGGCGGCAGGCCUAACACAUGCAAGUCGAGCGGAGCGGCGGACGGGUGAGUAAUGCCUAUGACUCUGCCUGGUAGUGGGGGAUAACGUCCGGAAACGGGCGCUAAUACCGCAUACUCUCAGCUGAGCCUAGGUCUGAUUAGCUAGUUGGUGGGGUAAAGGCCUACCAAGGCGACGACCCGUAACUCGUUUGAGAGGAUGAUCAGUCACACUGGAAUUGAGACACGGGCCAGACUCCUACGGGAGGCAGCAGUGGGGAAUAUUGGACAAUGGGAGAAAGCCUGAUCCAGCCAUGCCGCGUGUGGGAAGAAGGUCUUCGGAUUGUAAAGUACUUUAAGUUGGGAGGCGUUACCAACAGAAUAAGCACCGGCUAACUUCGUGCCAGCAGCCGCGGUAAUAC
Molecule: ribosomal RNA, 407 nt
Filed under: uncultured bacterium
Lineage: Bacteria
Description: partial 16S ribosomal RNA
Rfam family: Bacterial small subunit ribosomal RNA
Source: RNAcentral